Molecule: ribosomal RNA, 501 nt
Filed under: uncultured bacterium
Lineage: Bacteria
Description: partial 16S ribosomal RNA
Rfam family: Bacterial small subunit ribosomal RNA
Source: RNAcentral
AUUGAACGCUGGCGGCAGGCUUAACACAUGCAAGUCGAGCGGAGAUGAGGUGCUUGCACCUUAUCUUAGCGGCGGACGGGUGAGUAAUGCUUAGGAAUCUGCCUAUUAGUGGGGGACAACAUUCCGAAAGGAAUGCUAAUACCGCAAACGUCCUACGGGAGAAAGCAGGGGAUCUUCGGACCUUGCGCUAAUAGAUGAGCCUAAGUCGGAUUAGCUGGUUGGUGGGGUAAAGGCCUACCAAGGCGACGAUCUGUAGCGGGUCUGAGAGGAUGAUCCGCCAAACUGGGACGGAGACACGGCCCAGACUGCUACGGGAGGCAGCAGUGGGGAAUAUUGGACAAUGGGGGAAACCCUAAUCCAGCCAUGCCGCGUGUGUGAAGAAGGCCUUAUGGUUGUAAAGCACUUUAAGCGAGGAGGAGGCUACUGAGACUAAUACUCUUGGAUAGUGGACGUUACUCGCAGAAUAAGCACCGGCUAACUCUGUGCCAGCAGCCGCCGUAA